AAAACGACUCUCGACAACGGAUAUCUCGGCUCUCGCAUCGAUGAAGAACGCAGUGAAAUGCGAUACUUGGUGUGAAUUGCAGAAUCCCGUGAACCAUCGAGUCUUUGAACGCAAGUUGCGCCCAAAACCUUCGGGUCGAGGGCACGUCUGCCUGGGUGUCACGC
This 164-nucleotide ribosomal RNA is filed under the name Moeroris leucocalyx. RNAcentral describes it as "Phyllanthus leucocalyx 5.8S ribosomal RNA". It matches the Rfam family "5.8S ribosomal RNA". From Rfam's summary of the family: 5.8S ribosomal RNA (5.8S rRNA) is a component of the large subunit of the eukaryotic ribosome. It is transcribed by RNA polymerase I as part of the 45S precursor that also contains 18S and 28S rRNA. The record is from RNAcentral. Lineage: Eukaryota; Viridiplantae; Streptophyta; Magnoliopsida; Malpighiales; Phyllanthaceae.